UAACACAUGCAAGUCGAACGCAGUAGCAAUACUGAGUGGCAGACGGGUGAGUAACAUGUGGGAAUCUGCCUUGUGGUUCAGGACAACAUUGGGAAACCGAUGCUAAUACUGGAUAAGCCCUUACGGGGAAAGUUUUAAUGCCAUAAGAUGAGCCCGCAUUUGAUUAGUUAGUUGGUGAGGUAAUGGCUCACCAAGACAAUGAUCAAUAGCUGAUCUGAGAGGAUGAUCAGCCACACUGGGACUGAGACACGGCCCAGACUCCUACGGGAGGCAGCAGUGGGGAAUCUUGCACAAUGGAGGAAACUCUGAUGCAGCGAUGCCGCGUGAGUGAAGAAGGCCUUUGGGUUGUAAAGCUCUUUUGUAGGGGAAGAUAAUGACUGUACCCUAAGAAUAAGGUCCGGCUAACUUCGUGCCAGCAGCCGCGGUAAUACGAAGGGACCUAGCGUAGUUCGGAAUUACUGGGCGUAAAGCGCGCGUAGGCCGUUGAGUUAGUUAAUUGUGAAAUCCCAAAGCUUAACUUUGGAACUGCAAUUAAAACUGCUCGACUAGAGUUUGAUAGAGGAAAGCGGAAUACAUAGUGUAGAGGUGAAAUUCGUAGAUAUUAUGUAGAACACCAGUUGCGAAGGCGGCUUUCUGGAUCAACACUGACGCUGAGGCGCGAAAGUAUGGGUAGCAAAGAGGAUUAGAUACUCCUCGUAGUCUAUACCAUAAACGAUGAUUGCUAGAUGUUGGAAAUUUAUUUUCAGUAUCGCAGCUAACGCAUUAAGCAAU
This 771-nucleotide ribosomal RNA is filed under the name uncultured Pseudomonadota bacterium. RNAcentral's name for it is "bacterial SSU rRNA". It matches the Rfam family "Bacterial small subunit ribosomal RNA", at positions 49 to 868 of the family's 1533-position model. Lineage: Bacteria; Pseudomonadati; Pseudomonadota. The record is from RNAcentral.